Molecule: unclassified non-coding RNA, 200 nt
Filed under: Sebacina sp.
Lineage: Eukaryota; Fungi; Basidiomycota; Agaricomycetes; Sebacinales; Sebacinaceae
Description: partial internal transcribed spacer 2
Source: RNAcentral
UUAAGUUCAGCGGGUAGUCCUACUCGAUUUGAGGUCAAGUUGUCAGAUGUUGUCCGAAGACGGUUUGAAAGCACAGAGCUCCCGAUCGGCCACCCUCUUGCGAGGUGCCGGCGAAGAUACUUAUCACGCCGUACUAUGUCCAACCAAGAGAUGCACUAACGCAUUUGAGGUGAGCCACAAGGAAAAGCAGCAAACACCCA